CGUAGAACAUCGGCUUAGAGAGAAAAUCAAUGAAUUAGAGGGCCGUGACAAUGUCAUAGCGCGAAUCCCAGAAUACCGAAGUUCGUCAAAUCCCGGAGAAAUUACUGUAUUUCUUUUCUAUAAUAACGUUACACAAACUUAUAAUCGAAACACACGAAUAGUUAAAAGUUUCGAAAUUGAUUUUAUCAAAACAACACAUUUUAUUCAACAUAUUUUAUAUUUUCAAUUCUUUGCGAAGAAUCGCAACCUUUCAGACUGUAUUACCCUUGGAACAUUUACAAGGAUUGUGUAAUGACUACUCGAUAAAAAAGCUAUUGAAUAAAAAAUGCAGCAAUAACUUUUUUGUAACUAAUUUAUAGAUUUCGAGUUACCGUAUCACAAGUUUCUUUUUUUUUUCUUUAGAACUCUGAGUGCACGAUGUUCGAUGUUUCAUUCAGAAAAGUAUUGAAACUAUAGAAAAACAAACAGAGAAUAAAACUUGAAACAGUUGCUGUUAAGAAAGCUAACCGCAAAUCUGACAAUGGAUAAUCUCUUAGAUAACAGAGGGACAAAAAGUAAUAGUAAACGUGAAUUGUACUUAUUCAAUUCUUCGAUUACUUCUCUGGAAAACAUAUUAUUUUCAAGACGAAAUGUUCGUACGUUAGUUAUAAUUUGUCAACGCGAUAUUGGAUCAUUCUCUGCUAUUUCAGAAUUGGCUCACAUACAGGAAUUAUGGAUUGUCGAUUGUGGACUCAAAGUAUUAUCAAAAACUUCAUCGCAAUCUAUCAGUCUCCACGAUAUAACAUUUUAUUUGAUUUAGGAUGUACCACCUUUCAGAAGAAAUUGUCCUUUGAAAAAGCUGUAUUUGUAUUCGAAUGAAGUAUCUUGUAUAUCGAAUCUAGAUGCUUGUACAUAUUUGACAACUUUAUACUUGUCGGGAAACAAUAUAGACAAUCUUCAGGGUCUAACUAACUUAUCUAGGUUGGAAGACCUGAACUUAGCUAACAACAAAUUAAAAAGAAUUAGUAAAUGUUUCUUAAAGAAGUUGCAGCUGCAUUGCUUGAAUUUCGCAGGAAAUCGAUUAUGCGUUAUAAAGGUAUUUAGUAGUAAUUAAAUUUACAUUCCAUUUAUGUUCAUUCCAGUUACAUUUACAUUUUCAUUCCAAUUAUAAAAUAAUGUCUUUUCCUUUAAUUACUAUAGGAUAUAAGAAAUUUGUCCCAUCUGCAGAAAUUAAAAUCCUUAGUAUUUGCUGAUCCGUUAUACGGAGAGUGUCCGAUAGUAGCUCUUUGCAAUUAUCGAGCAUACGUUGUAAAUUACCUUCCAAAUAUUAAGAAAUUAGACCAUUACACUAUACAUGAAAAAGAACGACAGUGGAUUGUACAAUUUUUCAAGUCUCUCUAUUCGAUUAUUAUUGUCACGUGUCUAUAAUAAUAUUUGUUUUCUUUUUAUCAAAAUAAUAGUUUUUACUUUUAGAAAACAAAUUACACACCAUAAUGUGUUGUUUCAUAAGCAGUUAAGCGAAUACUUGAAACUACUGGAGGACAAUCACAAAGAAUAUAAGAAAGCGAUGCUUCAUUUUAAGAAUCGAUUGUACGCGAUUAAAGUAAUAGAGGUAUACCAUAAAAUUAUAAAUAUUAAGAGUAUAUUCGACAAUUUCUGUAUACGAUAAGCAUUGUUUUCGUUAAUUAUGGUACAUCUUUCACAUAGCAUGAACAGAAUUGCGUAAAGGAGAAAACCCAUGAUGAAUCGCUCAAUGUAACAUUACAAAUGGAGUUAAGUAAACAAAGAUUUAUAGGAAAGAAAAAAAUGACAAUAAUACAAUCCAAAGUAAAAGAACUGCUUAAUAAUUUAUAUGUACAAAAGCUGUUAUCACAAUAGUUUAUGUAAAAUAUUGCAUAUUUAUCGUAAUUAUUGUUUACUUGUCAGAUUUUACAACAGCAAUUAGUAUAUAAUAUAAACUACUGUGGAAAUAUAAAUUUCAUUGAACAUCGUGCAACUCCUAAAAAUACAGUUACUCAAUUAUGUAAACAAUUUUUAAAGGAAUCGCUAUGUACAGUCAUGAAAAAGUAUGUAAAUAUGCUAUGUUAAGAAGAAAUUAUUUAACACACUCAUGAACAAAAUCAAAGGAUCGAAACAUUUUAAUCGAAAAAUUGUCAAUGUUUGAACCGCUGUGACUUCGUUAAAACAUAUCGAAGAGGGAUGAAAGCACCUUCGCAUUUUUGCCUCGCUAACAUUGACAAUUUACCGAUCAAGGCUUUUUGACCCUUAAUCUCGCUCACGAACAUAGAAAUAAAAAUUACAUAAUUUAUCUUACUUGCAGUGAUGUAGGCAUCACUGGUCUGAUAUUAUACAAGGUCACUGAAGUAAAUAACAAGAAAGUUGAUCUAUUGAUUAAUAAUAUGCAGUCAAAUGAGUGCAACAUGAUUUUGAAAAUUUUAACUUCUCCCGGAGUAACAGAUAUUCAAGCGUGGCCUUUUAACUUCUUCAAAAUUAGUUUACUUAACAAUGUACUUUUGUGUGCAUGUUUGAGAAAUAUAUGUAUUAACAACUUC
Non-coding RNA from Megalopta genalis, 2531 nucleotides. The record is from RefSeq and is a predicted model, not a curated record. NCBI's taxonomy places the organism in Eukaryota, Metazoa, Arthropoda, Insecta, Hymenoptera, Halictidae.